CCAAUAGCGUAUAUUAAAGUUGUUGCAGUUAAAAAGCUCGUAGUUGAAUUUCGGAAUCAAUUUGUUGGUCGUGCCUCGGUACGUACUGGUAUUAUUGGUUUCUACCUUCUGAAGAACCUUGAUGUCAUUAAUUUGGUGUCUUGGGGAAUCAGGACUGUUACUUUGAAAAAAUUAGAGUGUUUAAAGCAAGCAUACGCUUGAAUACAUUAGCAUGGAAUAAUGAAAUAGGACGUUUGAUUCUAUUUUGUUGGUUUCUAGGAUCGACGUAAUGAUUAAUAGGGAUAGUUGGGGGCAUUAGUAUUCAAUUGUCAGAGGUGAAAUUCUUGGAUUUAUUGAAGACUAACUACUGCGAAAGCAUUUGCCAAGGAUGUUUUCAUUAAUCAAGAACGAAAGUUAGGGGAUCGAAGACGAUCAGAUACCGUCGUAGUCUUAACCAUAAACUAUGCCGACUAGGGAUCGGAUGAUGUUAAUUUUUUAAUGACUCAUUCGGCGCCUUACGGGAAACCAAAGUGUUGGUUC
This 519-nucleotide unclassified non-coding RNA is filed under the name uncultured Glomeromycotina. RNAcentral describes it as "SSU rRNA". It matches the Rfam family "Eukaryotic small subunit ribosomal RNA", at positions 591 to 1114 of the family's 1831-position model. Lineage: Eukaryota; Fungi; Glomeromycota. The record is from RNAcentral.